AUCACUUCUUGGCCAAGAUCAAGUGUAGUGUCUGUUCUUAUCAGUUUAAUAUCUGAUACAUCCUCUGUACAAGGAUAAUAUCUUAAAUGGAUUUUUGGAGCAGGAAGAUGGAAUAGGAAAUUGCUCUAUCCACUCUACACAUCGACCUGAUAUUGCAGUACCUCCAGGAGUGGUGUACCCCUC
Molecule: small nuclear RNA, 183 nt
Filed under: Castor canadensis (American beaver)
Lineage: Eukaryota; Metazoa; Chordata; Mammalia; Rodentia; Castoridae
Description: U2 spliceosomal RNA (ENSCCNG00000020733.1)
Rfam family: U2 spliceosomal RNA
About the family: U2 is a small nuclear RNA (snRNA) component of the spliceosome (involved in pre-mRNA splicing). Complementary binding between U2 snRNA (in an area lying towards the 5' end but 3' to hairpin I) and the branchpoint sequence (BPS) of the intron results the bulging out of an unpaired adenosine, on the BPS, which initiates a nucleophilic attack at the intronic 5' splice site, thus starting the first of two transesterification reactions that mediate splicing.
Source: Rfam by way of RNAcentral